RNAcentral lists this transfer RNA (60 nucleotides) under Aggregatibacter actinomycetemcomitans serotype d str. SA269. Its description in RNAcentral is "tRNA-Lys". It matches the Rfam family "tRNA", at positions 7 to 64 of the family's 71-position model. Rfam says of the family: Transfer RNA (tRNA) molecules are approximately 80 nucleotides in length. Their secondary structure includes four short double-helical elements and three loops (D, anti-codon, and T loops). Further hydrogen bonds mediate the characteristic L-shaped molecular structure. tRNAs have two regions of fundamental functional importance: the anti-codon, which is responsible for specific mRNA codon recognition, and the 3' end, to which the tRNAs corresponding amino acid is attached (by aminoacyl-tRNA synthetases). tRNAs cope with the degeneracy of the genetic code in two manners: having more than one tRNA (with a specific anti-codon) for a particular amino acid; and 'wobble' base-pairing, i.e. permitting non-standard base-pairing at the 3rd anti-codon position. Lineage: Bacteria; Pseudomonadati; Pseudomonadota; Gammaproteobacteria; Pasteurellales; Pasteurellaceae. RNAcentral also lists the same sequence under 1 other name. The record is from RNAcentral.
UUAGCUCAGUCGGUAGAGCAGCGGACUUUUAAUCCGUUGGUCGAAGGUUCGAAUCCUUCA